Molecule: long non-coding RNA, 322 nt
Organism: Culex pipiens pallens (northern house mosquito)
Lineage: Eukaryota; Metazoa; Arthropoda; Insecta; Diptera; Culicidae
Exons: 2
Source: RefSeq, a predicted model, not a curated record
AAAAAAGAUGCUAAAAUCGACCCCAAAGAAAACAUGCAACUCCCAGUUGGAAGAAUCGUUUCCGGAAACGAAACCGCUGGAAAAUUUGUUUCCAAGGACGUUCCAUUCUCUCCGAUGUCGGCAAAGAAAAGACUGAUUGGAUGACGACCGCCAAGGCAAGGUUCCCGGUUUAAGAUCUCUCACCGACGGAAUAGCAACGAAUCACAAGCGCAAAGUUAACGAUUAUCAAAGCCUACUAGAAGCUGAAGUUUUUGAAACCUUCAUCACCGGAAGCCGUAGUAAUUGUUCUAUUAUUUCAAUAAAAUAAAUUGUUCGCUCUACA